ACGCAAUAGAUACCCUGGUAGUCCACGCCGUAAACUAUGGAUGCUAGUUGUUGGCCGUAUCGACCCGGUCAGUAAACGAAAGCUAAACGCGUUAAGCAUCCCGCCUGGGGAGUACGGUCGCAAGAUUAAAACUCAAAGGAAUAGACGGGGACCCGCACAAGCGGUGGAGCGUGUUGUUUAAUUCGAGGCUAAGCGAAGAACCUUACCAGGGUUUGACAUCCUUGGAAUUUCUGUGAAAGCAGAGAGUGCCGCAAGGAACCAAGUGACAGGUGUUGCAUGGCCGUCGUCAGCUCGUGUCGUGAGAUGUUUGGUUAAGUCCAUCAACGAGCGCAACCCUUAUGAAUAGUUGGAUUUUUCUAUUCAGACUGCCCCGGUAACGGGGAGGAAGGAGGGGAUGAUGUUAGGUCUGUAUUACCCUUACACCCUGGGCUACAAACGCGCUACAAUGGCUAGUACAAAGGGCAGCUAAGUCGCGAGACGGAGCAAAUCCCAUCAAAGCUAGUCCCAGUUCGGAUUGCAGGCUGAAACUCGCCUGCAUGAAGUCGG
Molecule: ribosomal RNA, 546 nt
Filed under: uncultured bacterium
Lineage: Bacteria
Description: bacterial SSU rRNA
Rfam family: Bacterial small subunit ribosomal RNA
Source: RNAcentral